Molecule: RNA transcript, 1031 nt
Organism: Nannospalax galili (Upper Galilee mountains blind mole rat)
Lineage: Eukaryota; Metazoa; Chordata; Mammalia; Rodentia; Spalacidae
Gene name: vacuolar protein sorting-associated protein 72 homolog pseudogene
Exons: 2
Source: RefSeq, a predicted model, not a curated record
AUGGGGACCCCCUGGAAGACAACUGGAAACCAGCUUUCUGGGCUCCUGGAGGCAGAGGAGGAAGAUGAGUUCUACCAGAUGAUUUAUGGAGGUUUCACAGAGGAGUCUAGAAAUGAUGAGUAUCAAGAUGAGUCAGAUACAGAGGAUGAGAUGAACUCUGACUCUGACAUUGAUGAAGGAGAUGAACCAUCCAGUGAUAGAAAAACAGAAGAGCCAAGAAGGAAGCACCAGGUAGUCACCAAAGCCUGUAAGGAGCCUCUAAAUAGCUUGUAGCCUCGAAAGGUCAGCACCCCAGCAAGUAGCUUUCAGAAGGCCUGAGAAGAGAAAGCACUGCUGCCACUACAGGAUGACGCUUUGACAGUCGGAAGUCCGUGAGUACCUACAGCUGAGCACACGAGACAGACAGACGUUCCUUCGUGUUCAGGAAAGGCAAGGACAGGCCUGGAGGUCAGGGAGGUCGAAUGUGAGUGCCCACUAACCCAGGAAGAGCUGCUCAGGGAGGCCAAGAUCACAGAAGAGCUCAAUUGACAUUCACCAGAGACAUACAAACUCCUCGUGGCUGACAAAAAGAAGCAGGUUCACAAGAAGGGAAGUGCCCAGAGCCAGUGGAAGCCUGGCUCAAGGAAGAGAAUGUGGACAUAGAAGGACGUGAUCCUGCAGCCACAGCUUCUGCGUUGACUCCGCAUACUGGGAUGGGGUCUGCCAUCCCUCCUGCUUGCUGCUCACAUACCUAUGUCACAUUUAAUGAUAAUGUGACAUUUGAGGAAUGGCUCCCCCAGGGGUGACCCAAAAAGGUUCCUUUUGGGAGGGCUGCCCAGUGACCCAUCAUCCAGCCUGGGGGCAGGACCCUGUACACACACUCCCUCUGCCACUGCUCAAGCCUUCAAGAUCAUUUGUGAGGCCUACCAGAAGUACAUCACUGACCAUGGACUGCCACCCACUGCCUCAGUCCUUGGCCCUGGCCUACCACCUUCUGAGCCCUGACUCUGGACCCCGACCCUUGUGGCAGGCAGAAAAUUGUCAUCAAAUAG